GAGCGCGUAGCUCAGUGGUUUAGAGCGGCGAACUUUUAAUUCGUAGGUCCUGGGUUCGAUCCCCAGCGCGCUCACCA
This 77-nucleotide transfer RNA is filed under the name Alphaproteobacteria bacterium. RNAcentral's name for it is "tRNA-Lys". It matches the Rfam family "tRNA". Rfam says of the family: Transfer RNA (tRNA) molecules are approximately 80 nucleotides in length. The record is from RNAcentral. Lineage: Bacteria; Pseudomonadati; Pseudomonadota; Alphaproteobacteria.